GGGACCCCCGCCCUGUGACCCCAGGAGUGGUGGGACCCCCUCUCCAUGUCCCCGGGGGCAGUGGGGUGGUGGGACCCCCACUACGAGUCCCUGGGGGUGGUGGGACCCCCGCCCACACCCCCCCGGAGCUAUGGGGCUGAUUUGGGGCCGAUUCGGGGCCGUGCCAGGAGCUGGGGGUGGCGGUGCCGCGGGAGCUGCCGCUGGACACGUCGCGCAUCGAGUGGAUCCGCAUGGGCACCACGGUGGCCACCAACGCGCUGCUGCAGCGCCGGGGCGAGCGCGUGGCCCUGCUGCUCACCCGCGGCUUCCGCGACCUCCUGCACAUCGGCACCCAGGCGCGGCCGCGCAUCUUCGACCUGGUGAGAGGCGGUGCCGUGUGGGGUCGGGGUGGGGUGGCCCCGUCACCUGCAUUGGGAUUGGGGUGCCCCAUAACCUGCAGUGGCAUCGGGGUGGGGUGGCCCCAUAACCUGCACUGGGAUUGGGGUGGGGUGUCCCCAUUUGCACUGGGAUCAGGGUGCCAUGUCCCCAUCACCUGCACCAGGAUCGGGGCUGGAGGUCCCCAUUUGCACCGGGAUCGGGGUGUCAUUUCCCUGUCACCUGCACUGGGAUCGGGGUGGGGUGUCCCCAUUUGUACCGGGAUCGGGGUGGCGUGUCCCCAUCACCUUCAGCAGGAUUAGGGUGGCAUGUCCCUGUAACCUUCACUGGGAUUGGGGUGCCAUGUCCCCAUCACCUGCACUGGGAUUGGGGUGCCAUGUCCCCAUUUGCACCGGGACGGGGUGCCAUGUCCCCAUCUGCACUGGGAUCGGGGCUGUAUGUCCCCAUUUGCACUGGGACCGGGGUGCUGUGUCCCCCCCAUACCCCACACCGGUGUCGGGGUCCCCGUCCCUUCUCCCCACACCAUCCGUGCUGGGGGCAGCGUCCCGCAGCGCCCCCCACCCCCGGGGCUCCCGGCACCCCGUCCCGGUGACCCUCAGCACCCCGCUUGGGGGGCACGGCCCCGGUGCCGUGUCCCGGUCCCCGUCCCCGUCCCCGUCCCGGCUGCCCCCUCCCCGCACCGCGUCCUCUGC
RNAcentral lists this long non-coding RNA (1067 nucleotides) under Anas platyrhynchos platyrhynchos (common mallard). Its description in RNAcentral is "lncRNA (ENSAPLG00000024610.1)". The record is from RNAcentral. Lineage: Eukaryota; Metazoa; Chordata; Aves; Anseriformes; Anatidae.